GACGAACGCUGGCGGCGUGCCUAAUACAUGCAAGUAGAACGCUGAAGGAGGAGCUUGCUCUUCUGGAUGAGUUGCGAACGGGUGAGUAACGCGUAGGUAACCUGCCUGGUAGCGGGGGAUAACUAUUGGAAACGAUAGCUAAUACCGCAUAAAAUUGAUUAUUGCAUGAUAGUCAAUUAAAAGGUGCAAUUGCAUCACUACCAGAUGGACCUGCGUUGUAUUAGCUAGUUGGUGAGGUAACGGCUCACCAAGGCAACGAUACAUAGCCGACCUGAGAGGGUGAUCGGCCACACUGGGACUGAGACACGGCCCAGACUCCUACGGGAGGCAGCAGGAGGGAAUCUUCGGCAAUGGACGGAAGUCUGACCGAGCAACGCCGCGUGAGGGAAGAAGGGUUUCGGAUCGUAAAGCUCUGUUGUAAGAGAAGAACGAGUGUGAGAGUGGAAAGUUCACACUGUGACGGUAUCUUACCAGAAAGGGACGGCUAACUACGUG
Molecule: ribosomal RNA, 495 nt
Filed under: uncultured bacterium
Lineage: Bacteria
Description: partial 16S ribosomal RNA
Rfam family: Bacterial small subunit ribosomal RNA
Source: RNAcentral